Molecule: ribosomal RNA, 465 nt
Filed under: Klebsiella pneumoniae
Lineage: Bacteria; Pseudomonadati; Pseudomonadota; Gammaproteobacteria; Enterobacterales; Enterobacteriaceae
Description: partial 23S ribosomal RNA
Rfam family: Bacterial large subunit ribosomal RNA
Source: RNAcentral
CAGGCUGAUACCGCCCAAGAGUUCAUAUCGACGGCGGUGUUUGGCACCUCGAUGUCGGCUCAUCACAUCCUGGGGCUGAAGUAGGUCCCAAGGGUAUGGCUGUUCGCCAUUUAAAGUGGUACGCGAGCUGGGUUUAGAACGUCGUGAGACAGUUCGGUCCCUAUCUGCCGUGGGCGCUGGAGAAUUGAGGGGGGCUGCUCCUAGUACGAGAGGACCGGAGUGGACGCAUCACUGGUGUUCGGGUUGUCAUGCCAAUGGCACUGCCCGGUAGCUAAAUGCGGAAGAGAUAAGUGCUGAAAGCAUCUAAGCACGAAACUUGCCCCGAGAUGAGUUCUCCCUGAGACUUUAAGUCUCCUGAAGGAACGUUGAAGACGACGACGUUGAUAGGCCGGGUGUGUAAGCGCAGCGAUGCGUUGAGCUAACCGGUACUAAUGAACCGUGAGGCUUAACCUUACAACGCCGAAG